AUUCCCGUUUCGGCAUGCUUUACACAUGCAAGUCUAGCGGCAGCGGGGGUGCUUGCACCUGCCGGCGAGCGGCGAACGGGUGAGUAACGCAUCGGAACGUACCCAGUCGUGGGGGAUAGCCCGGGGAAACCCGGAUUAAUACCGCAUACGCCCUGAGGGGGAAAGCGGGGGAUCUUUAGGGACCUCGCGCGAUUGGAGCGGCUGAUGUCGGAUUAGCUAGUUGGUGGGGUAAAGGCUCACCAAGGCGACGAUCCGUAGCUGGUCUGAGAGGAUGAUCAGCCACAUCGGGACUGAGACACGGCCCGAACUCCUACGGGAGGCAGCAGUGGGGAAUUUUGGACAAUGGGCGCAAGCCUGAUCCAGCCAUGCCGCGUGAGUGAAGAAGGCCUUCGGGUUGUAAAGCUCUUUCAGUUGGGAAGAAACGGUGCGCUCUAACAUAGCGCGCUACUGACGGUACCGACAGAAGAAGCACCGGCUAACUACGUGCCAGCAGCCGCGGUAAUACGUAGGGUGCGAGCGUUAAUCGGAAUUACUGGGCGUAAAGCGUGCGCAGGCGGUUGUGUAAGACAGGUGUGAAAUCCCCGGGCUUACCUGGGAACUGCGCUUGUGACUGCACGGCUAAGUACGGCAAGGGGGGUGGAAUUCCACGU
This 650-nucleotide ribosomal RNA is filed under the name uncultured bacterium. RNAcentral's name for it is "bacterial SSU rRNA". It matches the Rfam family "Bacterial small subunit ribosomal RNA", at positions 28 to 674 of the family's 1533-position model. The record is from RNAcentral.